ACAGCAGGCCGCCUUAUCGCUGCCGAAGUUAAUUCGGGAGAGGAAAGUCCGGACACCAUAGGGAAGCAUAGCGGCUAACGGCCGUCGGUCCCGAACUCGCUUCGGGAUUAGGACAAGUGCAACAGAAAGGAUGUACAGGUAAUGCUGUAGUGAAACCAGGUAAACUCUAUGCGGUGAAAUGCCACGUAAACCUGUGCUUGAGGGUACCCGCCCGAUGCAGGAGGGUAGGCAGAUGGAGCGUGCGGGUAACCGUACGUCUAGAUAAAUGAUAAGGGUUAGCUACUGGCUGAUACAGAACCCGGCUUAUAGGCCUGCAUUUUUU
This 322-nucleotide RNase P RNA is filed under the name Aequorivita sp. RNAcentral describes it as "RNase P RNA component class A". It matches the Rfam family "Bacterial RNase P class A". Rfam says of the family: Ribonuclease P (RNase P) is a ubiquitous endoribonuclease, found in archaea, bacteria and eukarya as well as chloroplasts and mitochondria. RNAcentral also lists the same sequence under 1 other name. The record is from RNAcentral. Lineage: Bacteria; Pseudomonadati; Bacteroidota; Flavobacteriia; Flavobacteriales; Flavobacteriaceae.